This 892-nucleotide ribosomal RNA is filed under the name Pseudonocardia sp. CC031208-09. RNAcentral describes it as "bacterial SSU rRNA". It matches the Rfam family "Bacterial small subunit ribosomal RNA", at positions 19 to 923 of the family's 1533-position model. The record is from RNAcentral. Lineage: Bacteria; Bacillati; Actinomycetota; Actinomycetes; Pseudonocardiales; Pseudonocardiaceae.
CUGGCUCAGGACGAACGCUGGCGGCGUGCUUAACACAUGCAAGUCGAGCGGUAAGGCCCUUUCGGGGGUACACGAGCGGCGAACGGGUGAGUAACACGUGGGUGACCUGCCCUCCACUCUGGGAUAAGCCCGGGAAACUGGGUCUAAUACCGGAUAGGACCACUGAUCGCAUGGUUGGUGGUGGAAAGUUUUUUCGGUGGGGGAUGGGCCCGCGGCCUAUCAGCUUGUUGGUGGGGUGAUGGCCUACCAAGGCGGUGACGGGUAGCCGGCCUGAGAGGGCGACCGGCCACACUGGGACUGAGACACGGCCCAGACUCCUACGGGAGGCAGCAGUGGGGAAUAUUGCGCAAUGGGCGGAAGCCUGACGCAGCGACGCCGCGUGGGGGAUGACGGCCUUCGGGUUGUAAACCUCUUUCGCCAGGGACGAAGAGCAAUUGACGGUACCUGGAGAAGAAGCACCGGCCAACUACGUGCCAGCAGCCGCGGUAACACGUAGGGUGCGAGCGUUGUCCGGAAUUAUUGGGCGUAAAGAGCUCGUAGGCGGUGUGUCGCGUCGGCCGUGAAAACUUGGGGCUUAACUCUGAGCGUGCGGUCGAUACGGGCAUCACUUGAGUUCGGCAGGGGAGACUGGAAUUCCUGGUGUAGCGGUGAAAUGCGCAGAUAUCAGGAGGAACACCGGUGGCGAAGGCGGGUCUCUGGGCCGAUACUGACGCUGAGGAGCGAAAGCGUGGGGAGCGAACAGGAUUAGAUACCCUGGUAGUCCACGCCGUAAACGUUGGGCGCUAGGUGUGGGGACCAUUCCACGGUUUCUGUGCCGCAGCUAACGCAUUAAGCGCCCCGCCUGGGGAGUACGGCCGCAAGGCUAAAACUCAAAGGAAUUGACGGGGGCCCG